AGUGAACGCUGGCGGUAGGCCUAACACAUGCAAGUCGAACGGCAGCACAGUAAGAGCUUGCUCUUACGGGUGGCGAGUGGCGGACGGGUGAGGAAUACGUCGGAAUCUACUUUUUCGUGGGGGAUAACGUAGGGAAACUUACGCUAAUACCGCAUACGACCUACGGGUGAAAGCAGGGGAUCUUCGGACCUUUCGCGAUUGAAUGAGCCGAUGUCGGAUUAGCUAGUUGGCGGGGUAAAGGCCCACCAAGGCGACGAUCCGUAGCUGGUCUGAGAGGAUGAUCAGACACACUGGAACUGAGACACGGUCCAGACUCCUACGGGAGGCAGCAGUGGGGAAUAUUGGACAAUGGGCGCAAGCCUGAUCCAGCCAUACCGCGUGGGUGAAGAAGGCCUUCGGGUUGUAAAGCCCUUUUGUUGGGAAAGAAAAGCAGCAGGUUAAUACCCCGCUGUUCUGACGGUACCCAAAGAAUAAGCACCGGCUAACUUCGUG
RNAcentral lists this ribosomal RNA (492 nucleotides) under uncultured bacterium. RNAcentral describes it as "partial 16S ribosomal RNA". It matches the Rfam family "Bacterial small subunit ribosomal RNA", at positions 29 to 507 of the family's 1533-position model. The record is from RNAcentral.